RNAcentral lists this transfer RNA (77 nucleotides) under Paracoccaceae bacterium. RNAcentral describes it as "Rhodobacteraceae bacterium (marine metagenome) tRNA-His". It matches the Rfam family "tRNA". Rfam says of the family: Transfer RNA (tRNA) molecules are approximately 80 nucleotides in length. Their secondary structure includes four short double-helical elements and three loops (D, anti-codon, and T loops). The record is from RNAcentral. Lineage: Bacteria; Pseudomonadati; Pseudomonadota; Alphaproteobacteria; Rhodobacterales; Paracoccaceae. RNAcentral also lists the same sequence under 1 other name.
GCCGCCUUAGCUCAGUUGGUUAGAGCACUGGUUUGUGGAACCAGGGGUCCUCCGUUCGAGCCGGAGAGGCGGUACCA